This 295-nucleotide ribosomal RNA is filed under the name uncultured bacterium. RNAcentral describes it as "partial 16S ribosomal RNA". It matches the Rfam family "Bacterial small subunit ribosomal RNA", at positions 399 to 691 of the family's 1533-position model. The record is from RNAcentral.
GCGUGGAGGAUGAAUGCCGUAAGGUUGUAAACUCCUUUUGAAGGGGACGAAAAAAUAGGUUGGUAGCCUAUAUUGACUGUACCCUUAGAAAAAGCCCCGGCUAACUACGUGCCAGCAGCCGCGGUAAUACGUAGGGGGCAAGCGUUGUCCGGAUUUACUGGGUGUAAAGGGCGCGUAGGCGGGCUUGUUAGUCAGAGGUGAAAUACUGCGGCUUAACCGUAGAACUGCCUUUGAUACUGCAAGCCUUGAGUUCGGAAGAGAGAGAUGGAAUUCCAGGUGUAGUGGUGAAAUACGU